GAACGGUAGCACAGAGAGCUUGCUCUCGGGUGACGAGUGGCGGACGGGUGAGUAAUGUCUGGGAAACUGCCUGAUGGAGGGGGAUAACUACUGGAAACGGUAGCUAAUACCGCAUAACGUCGCAAGACCAAAGAGGGGGACCUUCGGGCCUCUUGCCAUCAGAUGUGCCCAGAUGGGAUUAGCUAGUAGGUGGGGUAACGGCUCACCUAGGCGACGAUCCCUAGCUGGUCUGAGAGGAUGACCAGCCACACUGGAACUGAGACACGGUCCAGACUCCUACGGGAGGCAGCAGUGGGGAAUAUUGCACAAUGGGCGCAAGCCUGAUGCAGCCAUGCCGCGUGUAUGAAGAAGGCCUUCGGGUUGUAAAGUACUUUCAGCGGGGAGGAAGGUGUUGCGGUUAAUAACCGCAGCAAUUGACGUUACCCGCAGAAGAAGCACCGGCUAACUCCGUGCCAGCAGCCGCGGUAAUACGGAGGGUGCAAGCGUUAAUCGGAAUUACUGGGCGUAAAGCGCACGCAGGCGGUCUGUCAAGUCGGAUGUGAAAUCCCCGGGCUCAACCUGGGAGCUGCAUUCGAAACUGGCAGGCUAGAGUCUUGUAGAGGGGGGUAGAAUUCCAGGUGUAGCGGUGAAAUGCGUAGAGAUCUGGAGGAAUACCGGUGGCGAAGGCGGCCCCCUGGACAAAGACUGACGCUC
This 693-nucleotide ribosomal RNA is filed under the name uncultured Enterobacterales bacterium. RNAcentral describes it as "bacterial SSU rRNA". It matches the Rfam family "Bacterial small subunit ribosomal RNA", at positions 64 to 748 of the family's 1533-position model. The record is from RNAcentral. Lineage: Bacteria; Pseudomonadati; Pseudomonadota; Gammaproteobacteria; Enterobacterales.